AUGCCGCAGCGGCAAAGUCAGAUGCAGGAUGCGACGGGCCUCCACGCGGGGGUCGAUAAUCAGUUUGUGAUGCUGCGCAACAGUACUCGGGAGAAAAUAUUCGAGUACAUAGAAAGGAAGCAACCAUCGGCUAUCUGGCGGGGGCGGCUGCCGGAGCUUGCGAGGCGGCUCGAGGAGGUCUUGUUUAGAGAAUACCCAAACAAGGCUGAGUACUACAAUAUGAUGAGGGGGCCGAUUUUGACCCACUUGCGGUUUGCCAUGAACCUCUUGAGUGUUCAGAACCAACAACAACAACAGAACCUACAAUUGUCAAGGCAGAUAACAUGCCCCCCUCGCAAUGGGACAAUGAUUGUGACACCUGGUGUCACGCAUGGCACGAGUGAAAAUUCUGGAAUGUCUCAUGUGACGGGCAACAUUGGCCCUCUGUCGUUUGGUGCAGACAUGGUUCCUCUGAACGCCAGCAUGGGGGAAGCUCCUGAUGAGCAUGUGAACACACUGAUGUCUAUGGAGAUGAACCCUACACACCAUGAUCGCCCCAGAGCAUGCAACAACAACCUCGUGAUAGACACAGUGGACACACCUGCAACCAACGGACUCUUGAAACCCCGUGUACCUGUGAAGGAGGCCCGAAAGGAACCAAAGUUCAGCUGCCCAGUCUGCAUGAAUGAGCUGGUCGAUGCGUCAUCGACCAUCUGUGGCCACAUCUUCUGCCAGAACUGCAUUGAGGCCUCCAUCCAGGCUCAGAGCAAGUGCCCGACCUGUCGUAGGACGCUAACCAGGAACAGUUUCCACCGCGUCUACCUCCCGACGAUGGACUAA
This 819-nucleotide ribosomal RNA is filed under the name Triticum aestivum (bread wheat). RNAcentral's name for it is "partial small subunit ribosomal RNA". Lineage: Eukaryota; Viridiplantae; Streptophyta; Magnoliopsida; Poales; Poaceae. The record is from RNAcentral.